CCUGCUUGUGGUCUCACAUUGUACCUCACUAUAGCAUAGAGCUUCCAGGUCCACAUGGAAUAAUGAUGGCAUAGCAACUGCCUUGUGCCUCCCAGAGUCAGAACCCGAUGGGCAUGAUGACUCCGUUGCUGAAAUUUCUGUGACUAGGUCACCUGGGAAGGAAGAGGCUUUCUCUAGGGCCCAGCAUAACACCUGCUCUGUUUCAUCACAACACUCAAGCCAUGCUACUUUUCUACCCAUAAGAACUGCCUUUUCCAAGCUGCCGGGCUGUCCAGUGAAAAAGAAGGCUCAAUGUCUUUUCAGCCCAACACACAGCACUGAGCUAGAGUUACUCUGCUGGUCUCCACUAUCUCCUGGCCUAUUUCCAGCUUUAAAACUUCUCAAAAUCAAAACUGCUUUCCAUAUUUAUUUUUUCAGUUCCAUAGAUAAUCCAUUUGAUUUUUGUUUACCCCGAUUAUCCCAAAUUGGAUGGUCUCAGAUGUGUUGAAAAAACUGUCUCUAGGCAAGGCCACAAGGUGGGGCAGUAAUAAGGAAUUGAAGGACUUGCGGUCUCUUCUGAAGUCUAAAUGAUAUUUUCUAGAACAUGCUAAA
This 591-nucleotide long non-coding RNA is filed under the name Vulpes vulpes (red fox). RNAcentral describes it as "lncRNA (ENSVVUG00000019896.1)". The record is from RNAcentral. Lineage: Eukaryota; Metazoa; Chordata; Mammalia; Carnivora; Canidae.